CGCUAAGAAGCUAAACAGGACGUAGCGCUAGCCUUUUAAGCUAGAGAAUGGUGUCUACCGAUCACCCUUAGCGA
This 74-nucleotide transfer RNA is filed under the name Cephalopholis boenak (chocolate hind). Its description in RNAcentral is "tRNA-Lys". Lineage: Eukaryota; Metazoa; Chordata; Actinopteri; Perciformes; Serranidae. The record is from RNAcentral.